GGGUUGUGAGGUUAAGCGACUAAGCGUACACGGUGGAUGCCCUGGCAGUCAGAGGCGAUGAAGGACGUGCUAAUCUGCGAUAAGCGUCGGUAAGGUGAUAUGAACCGUUAUAACCGGCGAUUUCCGAAUGGGGAAACCCAGUGUGAUUCGUCACACUAUCAUUAACUGAAUCCAUAGGUUAAUGAGGCGAACCGGGGGAACUGAAACAUCUAAGUACCCCGAGGAAAAGAAAUCAACCGAGAUUCCCCCAGUAGCGGCGAGCGAACGGGGAGCAGCCCAGAGCCUGAAUCAGUGUGUGUGUUAGUGGAAGCGUCUGGAAAGGCGCGCGAUACAGGGUGACAGCCCCGUACACAAAAAUGCACAUACUGUGAGCUCGAUGAGUAGGGCGGGACACGUGGUAUCCUGUCUGAAUAUGGGGGGACCAUCCUCCAAGGCUAAAUACUCCUGACUGACCGAUAGUGAACCAGUACCGUGAGGGAAAGGCGAAAAGAACCCCGGCGAGGGGAGUGAAAAAGAACCUGAAACCGUGUACGUACAAGCAGUG
This 544-nucleotide ribosomal RNA is filed under the name Escherichia coli. RNAcentral's name for it is "bacterial LSU rRNA". It matches the Rfam family "Bacterial large subunit ribosomal RNA", at positions 1 to 575 of the family's 2925-position model. Lineage: Bacteria; Pseudomonadati; Pseudomonadota; Gammaproteobacteria; Enterobacterales; Enterobacteriaceae. The record is from RNAcentral.